Molecule: ribosomal RNA, 1393 nt
Filed under: metagenome
Description: bacterial SSU rRNA
Rfam family: Bacterial small subunit ribosomal RNA
Source: RNAcentral
AGAAUUUGAUCCUGGUUCAGAUUGAAUGCUGACGGCGUGGAUGAGGCAUGCAAGUCGUACGAAGUAGUAGCAAUAUUACUUAGUGGCGGAAGGGUUAGCAAUACAUGAAUAAUCUGCCUUUUACCUGGGAAUAACGAUUGGAAACGGUCGCUAAUACCGAAUGACGAUAAAAAGUGGCAUCGCUUUUUAUUGAAAGUUGGGGACUUUUUAAAGAAGCCUAGCGGUAAAAGAAGAGUUCAUGCGAUAUCAGCUUGUUGGUGUGGUAAAAGCGCACCAAGGCUAGGACGUCUAGGCGGAUUGAGAGAUUGAUCGCCAACACUGGGACUGAGACACUGCCCAGACUCCUACGGGAGGCUGCAGUCGAGAAUCUUUCGCAAUGGGCGAAAGCCUGACGAAGCGACGCCGUGUGAGCGAAGAAGGCCUUAGGGUUGUAAAGCUCUUUUGCUUGAGAACAAGAGAAGCGAAUGAAUAAUUCGCUGAUUUGAGGGUAUCAGGUAAAGAAGCACCGGCUAACUCCGUGCCAGCAGCUGCGGUAAUACGGAGGGUGCAAGCAUUAAUCGGAUUUAUUGGGCGUAAAGGGGGCGUAGGCGGUUAGGAAAGUCAGGUAUGAAAUUCCGAGGCUCAACUUCGGAGCUGUACCUGAAACUUCUUGACUAGGGGAUAGACGGAGAAAACGGAAUUCCACGUGUAGCGGUGAAAUGCGUAGAUAUGUGGAAGAACACCGGUGGCGAAAGCGGUUUUCUAGUUUAUUCCUGACGCUGAGGCCCGAAAGCAUGGGUAGCAAACAGGAUUAGAUACCCUGGUAGUCCAUGCCGUAAACGAUGCAUACUAGAUGUAGUUGGACUCAACCCCGACUGUGUCGUAGCUAACGCGUUAAGUACGCCGCCUGGGGAGUACACUCGCAAGGGUGAAACCCAAAAGAAUUGACGGGGGCCCGCACAAGCAGUGGAGCAUGUGGUUUAAUUCGAUGCAACGCGAAGAACCUUACCUGGGCUCGAAGUUUAGAGGACAGCUCCAGAAAUGGAGUCUCUUGUAAAAGUCUCUAUAUAGGUGCUGCAUGGCUGUCGUCAGCUCGUGCCGUGAGGUGUUGGGUUAAGUCCCGCAACGAGCGCAACCCUUAUCGUUAGUUGCCAGCAUUUAAGGUGGGGACUCUAACGAGACUGCCUGGGUUAACCAGGAGGAAGGCGAGGAUGACGUCAAGUCCGCAUGGCCUUUAUGUCCAGGGCUACACACGUGCUACAAUGGCCGGUACAGAGGGCAGCAAUACCGUGAGGUGGAGCAAAUCUCAAAAAACCGGUCCCAGUUCGGAUUGUAGUCUGCAACUCGACUACAUGAAGCCGGAAUUGCUAGUAAUGGCGUGUCAGCAAUAACGCCGUGAAUACGUUCCCGGGCU